RNAcentral lists this ribosomal RNA (372 nucleotides) under uncultured bacterium. RNAcentral's name for it is "bacterial SSU rRNA". It matches the Rfam family "Bacterial small subunit ribosomal RNA", at positions 28 to 400 of the family's 1533-position model. The record is from RNAcentral.
GACGAACGCUGGCGGCGUGCUUAACACAUGCAAGUCGAGCGGUAAGGCCCUUUCGGGGGUACACGAGCGGCGAACGGGUGAGUAACACGUGGGUGACCUGCCCUCAGCUCUGGGAUAAGCCUAGGGAAACCGGGUCUAAUACUGGAUAUGACUCCAUGACGCAUGUUGUGGGGUGGAAAGCCUUGUGCGGCUGAGGAUGGGCCCGCGGCCUAUCAGCUUGUUGGUGGGGUGAUGGCCUACCAAGGCGACGACGGGUAGCCGGCCUGAGAGGGCGACCGGCCACACUGGGACUGAGACACGGCCCAGACUCCUACGGGAGGCAGCAGUGGGGAAUCUUGCGCAAUGGGCGAAAGCCUGACGCAGCGACGCCGC